This 587-nucleotide ribosomal RNA is filed under the name uncultured bacterium. Its description in RNAcentral is "bacterial SSU rRNA". It matches the Rfam family "Bacterial small subunit ribosomal RNA", at positions 338 to 916 of the family's 1533-position model. The record is from RNAcentral.
CCUACGGGAGGCAGCAGUAGGGAAUCUUCCACAAUGGACGAAAGUCUGAUGGAGCAACGCCGCGUGAGUGAUGAAGGUUUUCGGAUCGUAAAACUCUGUUGUAAGGGAAGAACAAGUACGAGAGGUAAUGCUCGUACCUUGACGGUACCUUGCGAGAAAGCCACGGCUAACUACGUGCCAGCAGCCGCGGUAAUACGUAGGUGGCAAGCGUUGUCCGGAAUUAUUGGGCGUAAAGCGCGCGCAGGCGGCCUUUUAAGUCUGAUGUGAAAGCCCCCGGCUCAACCGGGGAGGGUCAUUGGAAACUGGAAGGCUUGAGUACAGAAGAGAAGAGUGGAAUUCCAUGUGUAGCGGUGAAAUGCGUAGAGAUGUGGAGGAACACCAGUGGCGAAGGCGACUCUUUGGUCUGUAACUGACGCUGAGGCGCGAAAGCGUGGGGAGCAAACAGGAUUAGAUACCCUGGUAGUCCACGCCGUAAACGAUGAGUGCUAGGUGUUGGGGGUUUCCGCCCCUCAGUGCUGAAGCUAACGCAUUAAGCACUCCGCCUGGGGAGUACGGCCGCAAGGCUUGAAACUCAAAGGAAUUGACGG